GAUGAACGCUGGCGGCGUGCCUAAUACAUGCAAGUCGAGCGAACAGACGAGGAGCUUGCUCCUCUGACGUUAGCGGCGGACGGGUGAGUAACACGUGGAUAACCUACCUAUAAGACUGGGAUAACUUCGGGAAACCGGAGCUAAUACCGGAUAAUAUAUUGAACCGCAUGGUUCAAUAGUGAAAGACGGUUUUGCUGUCACUUCUAGAUGGAUCCGCGCCGCAUUAGCUAGUUGGUAAGGUAACGGCUUACCAAGGCGACUAUGCGUAGCCGACCUGAGGGGGUGAUCGGCCACACUGGAGCUGAGACACGGUCCAGACUCCUACGGUAGGCAGCAGUAGGGAAUCUUCCGCAAUGGGCGAAAGCCUGACGGAGCAACGCCGCGUGAGUGAUGAAGGUCUUCGGAUCGUAAAACUCUGUUAUUAGGGAAGAACAAAUGUGUAAGUAACUAUGCACGUCUUGACGGUACCUAAUCAGAAAGCCACGGCUAACUACGUG
RNAcentral lists this ribosomal RNA (497 nucleotides) under uncultured bacterium. Its description in RNAcentral is "partial 16S ribosomal RNA". It matches the Rfam family "Bacterial small subunit ribosomal RNA", at positions 28 to 507 of the family's 1533-position model. The record is from RNAcentral.